Molecule: long non-coding RNA, 3336 nt
Organism: Xenopus laevis (African clawed frog)
Lineage: Eukaryota; Metazoa; Chordata; Amphibia; Anura; Pipidae
Exons: 2
Source: RefSeq, a predicted model, not a curated record
UUUUAAUUUUUUAAUUUUGGGUUGAAUUCUCCUUUAAUGUUACAGCACUUACAUAUUGGGUAGUAUCUACGCUGUCCAGCCCUCAGCAUUCCAACAUACAGUUUUACUACUACUUCAGCCCCUACCCUGCACUAGCAUAGGACUAACCACCCAAAACGACAGUUUUUUUUUUAUUAUAUAGCCACCCCUUAAAGCUGAUGCCCUAGACAAAGUCCCUUGGAUACCUAAUAUAGAAAAUUCUCUGCCAGGGAUGAAAUGCAGUUGCUUUGGAUUAUAAGGCUUGUGUUCAAAAGUGCAAGAAUUCAGGCUUUUCUACUGGAACGUAAUGGUUCGGUGGAUGUCAAAUUGUUAUGGCUGUUUCCCGUAACAAAGGCCAAAUGUUCUGCGUUUGGUUUAAAAAAAAGUUCUCGCUUUGUUUUAAGAAAUAGUCCAAACAGGCAGUUUAUCAGCGACUGUGUAUAACAGAUAGUCUUAAAAUGCAUCCCCAUCCUACAGAAAUGUUUGCAAUAUACUGAUUUAUCAUAUUGAAGAAAUUUAUGGGGCCAGUUAAAGAACUAGAACAGAUGUCAUUUUCCCAUUGAAAAAUAUGGAAAUUUCCAUCCAGAUGUUCUUUAAGGUUUAUAUAAGUACAUACUGUAUAAGGGCAGCUUAACUGAUGUGUGUGAAAUUCUCAACCCACACCUGACCCUAACCCUCCCACUCCGAACCCACACUAAGCCCGUCCCUGCGCUCCCCCACUGUUUAUAGACCCACGACUACACUGCAGUGACGUCACCAAGGGAGCGGGCGCCGGUCUACAAACAUCACUAGUAACCAUCUUGCUCUACUAUGACCACCUUGGCCUGUGUCUAUUAUCCUGAUCCCUCGCAUGGCAUGAAUGUAGCGUCUCGAUGUGGGUUUCAUUCAGCUGAAUUGAUUUCCAAGAGAUGGAUCAUUCUGCUGAGCUCUGCAGUCGGACAAGUCACAAGACAUUUUACAUUCAUGUUGAUGAGUGGGAGUUUUCGGGUCUUGGCUCUUUGCCCCGUUCCCCUUGGAUUUUUGCUGAAUUGGGUGCUUUGCUUUAGAAAACAAAUACUUCAUGUUUUCUGGGACCCAAUACAAGAAGGAAGUCUCAAGGGAAAUGUUCAAAUUGACCGAUAUAAGUCUAUUUCCUCUUUUUCUUUUAUCAACAUAUAAUUGGCCACUUUAUUGGAACACCAUAUUAAAAGCAGUCGUAGAAAGUCCAGGGCUCUGCUGAGCUUCCUUAUCUCAUUCACUUUCAUUAAUUAGCCAUAGGCAUCUCCAUGCAGCAAUACAGUGCCUCUACUUUUCUUUUCUCUUCUUGUCCACCUUUUCCACACCUUCUCCUCUCUUCUGACCUUGAUUCAAAAUUCCUUAGCUUCUUCUGCUGCCUUUACUGCAUCUUCCCUUUACUCUCCUGAAUAUUCUUCUGGAAUCUUCUUAUAUACUCAUGAACAUUUUUGGAUAAAAAAGAAGAAAGCAGUGGGGCAAUUGUAGGCGACAAAAUGUAAACCUGAUGGUCAGAUGUAGCCAACUGAACACCAGAUGAGCAGCCCCAAGGCUAUUUUAACCUCUUUGGUCCUAUGGGAAGCUGGUUCGGGUCCUCAGAGUUUAUCUAGAAUCCUUCCAUGAGGCAAGAGAGGGAUUUUGUUGUUUACCUAAAAGGAAAUAGCUACAAGAGUUGCAGGAAAUGGUUUACUCCAUCCACAGCAAAAAGUGCCAAUUAAUUUGAUUGAAUAUUUUUUUUUUACAUAACUAGACUGGUGCCAAAAAUAUUAUUCUUGAUGCAGGUAAACAGCUGCACACCAGGAAUAUUUUUCAAAUUUCAAAAAACUAAACUUUUAUAUCACCCUAAUAAUAUUGAUUCAUUUAAGGAACAUUAUUUUUGACAACGGGACAAAUUUAAAUACCGGUCAAAAUUCAUCUCGACGCAACUCCCAGAGGCCUCUCUGUUGAAGAACCCUCACUUCCUCCAAGGGACUUACAUACUCUGGACUUUCUUCUGCAACACCACCGAGAAUUCAACAGCCCAUGGGCAUGACUGGAACAGUAGCAGACAUGGAACGAUGGAAGCAGACAGGAAACAAGAUUAUUAUUUUAAGGCAAGAAGGGGACAUUAAAGAAACCAGUUUUUUUGCAAUUUACUUGUUGCCAAACAGGUUGCAUUACAAAGAUUUUUACAUGCAUAGAAUACAGUAUGAAAGAUGCAUCUGGCUGUGGAUGCAGUGCUUACUGCAUUCGGCAAUGCUACAUUUAGGGGGAAAUGGUGGUGGACAACAAGUGGACACCCCCUGUAUCACCCCUAGUUUGCUCAUGAACUGGUGGUGCAGGGCAAGUGGACUCCCCUGUAUCACCCCUAGUUUGCUCAUAAACUGGUGUGAAUAGCAAGUGGACAUCCCAGCAUCACACCUAACUUGCUCAUGAACUAGUGGUGGACAGCAAAUGGACAUCCCCUGUAUCACCCCUAGCUUGUUCACAAACUGGUGGUGGAGGGCAAGUGAACAUCCCCUGCAUCACCCUUAGCUUGCUCAUGAACUGCUGAUGGAUAGCAAGUGGACAUCCCUGCAUCACCCCUAGCUUGCUCAUUAACUGGUGGUGAACAGCAUGAGAACAUCAACUGCAUCACCCCUAGCUUGUUCACAAAUUGGUGGUGGAGAGCAAGUGGACAUUCCCUGUAUGACCCCUAGUUUGCUUAUGAACUGGUGUGAAUAGCAAGUGGACAUCCCAGCAUCACCCCUAACUUUCUCAUGAACUGGUGAUGGACAGCAAGUGGACAUCCCUGCAUUACCCCUAGCUUGCUCAUGAAUUCGAGGUGGAUAGCAAGUGGACAUCCCCGCAUCACACCUAACUUGCUCAUGAACUGGUGAUGGACAGCAAAUGUACACCCCCUGCAUGACCCCUAACUUGAUCAUCAUUCACUCAUGCAGGCUAAUGACGGCAGAAGGCCACAAGUCACAUCAAAUCCUAGAGGACUACUCAAUACUCUGCACCUUGGUUUGGAUUAAAAAUCUGCAGAAGGUACUGAUCACUGAUUGUGCUGCCUAUAACAUGUGUGUAAGCGUUCUAUGCAGGGACCAUAAUACAGGGACAAUUGCAUAUUAGGGAUUGAGAAAUGUCCCUAAACUUUUGGAAAUACCUGAAAAAUGAAUUCAUAAUAUUCACUUGCACCGUGGGACAUUUGUCAUGAACCUCCUGCUGCAACUCGAUGGCUGUUCUCUAAAAAGGUUCUACAAACUUUCCUCCCAUUGAGCUUGCAUGCAUCAUGUGAUUAAAUGCAGUCGUGAAGAUAAAACUCCAUGACAGACACCCUGCUCUACAUUACAAAGACCUGCAAAA